Chroicocephalus ridibundus (black-headed gull) is the source of this 2641-nucleotide RNA transcript. It is a transcript of the gene named glutamate rich 1, with no coding region annotated. The record is from RefSeq and is a predicted model, not a curated record. NCBI's taxonomy places the organism in Eukaryota, Metazoa, Chordata, Aves, Charadriiformes, Laridae. The transcript is spliced from 9 exons.
UCGCGGCGGCGAGCAGGAAGGAGGGCGAGCGCAGAGCUGCCGUUUGCGCGGGGCCGCCUGUGCGCCCGGGGCCAUGGCCCUGAGCAGGAGGGAAGUGUUUAUAAGGAAAGUACUGAAACGACUCUAUGCUGAAACUCCAUCAUCUCUUGCGCAUGCUUCGAGUAGAGAAGAGGAGGCGGUUCUCAGAAAUCUGGGCUCAAAAUCCAAAGAAAAUAACUUGGAUAAUGUUCAGACGUCAUCAGCAGAUGCUAGCACAUCAACUGUUACACCCUGCGAAUCAUUGCAAGGCAGUGACAAUACAAUUCUGUCUCCAAGGAGAAUGUACACAGUGAAUCUUCCUCCGGAGGGUUAUGUUGCAGUUACUCCAGAUGCUGUUAGUAUUUCAGUUUCUGAAGACUCCGACGGUAGUGCUGACUCAACAGAGGAGGAAUAUCAAGGACAAACAAAGAGAAAGCGCAUUCGAAGGAAGAAACAAAAGAGCAGUUUGCAAAACUCUAAUAAUUUACAUGGAGAACAAACAGAAUCUGGAAUGCAAGAGACUCUCGUUCAAGAUAAUUUACAGCUGCAGCAGAUACACAGUCCCAAAAUAAGCAAAAACAAAAAGAGGAAAAUGAAAAAGAAGCGACAGAAAGAAAAAAUGAGAGCAGCUGGCUUGGUAACAAAAACCACCGGUGUGGAUUUUACAUAUCAGCCUGACAAAAACAACAGAGAAGAAGCAGCAGGCUUAAAAGACAUAGAUGAAAAGGCAGAUAGCAUUCUGGACUUCCUGCAGGCAACACAACAAAUUUAUUUUGCUGACAAUAAAUCAGAAUGCAUGGAUUCUGCUGUAAAUUCAGCAACUGCCCAAGAGCUUUUGCAAUGUCUUGAGUCUCGCACCAUCUCUUCUUCAGAUGUGACCCUUCUACAUCAGCUGAAAUCCCUUGUAUUGCUACAGGAUAUUGAGAGAUUGAAGGAUGCUUUGAAACAAUUCCAAGAACAAUCCAUGAUGCCUCCUGAUCAUACCAAGACAGUCACGUCUCUGUUUCACUACUGGAUUACAGAUAUCCUUCCUGUGAAGAACAGGAAAUAAAGCCUUGCCUGUGUCCGUAUGUGCAGGGUUAAAAUGUAAUAUACAGACUCUUAACCAAGUAGCAAUUGUUCGGGAAGAGCAGUGUCAAUACACAUUCGACACCUUCAGGCACUGAACUGUAGCUGUGACUUUUCAUUGAGAUGCUGUAUGCCUCAGUCCCACAUCCGGAGAAUGAAGAAAAUAUCACUUGAAUGUGAAGCACCUAGAUACUCUAUUGACAGACCCUGGCAGAAAUUAAAUCACUUCAUCCUCAGAUUGAGGUUUGAACGUCAUGCGGUAAAUGAGGUCUAGGAACUGUAAAAAAAGGAUAUGCAGCAACUCAUUAGAGGCUGAAAUUCUACGAAGGCUCAGAAAUCAUGGUUAUUCCUCUCCGGAGAAUGACACCUGGGUAUAUAAGGUUGUUGCAGACUCAAGCUGCGGGAAAAAUCGUUAUCAACUCAUCAGACACGCUGCUGCAACGGACGGCGUUGCUGCUGGGAAUGUUUGGGAUCAGUAUAUCCAGCUACAGCACACACCAGCUAACUCAAAAUAAGAGACUUCCCUUAAUCCGUUAAGCUGCGCUGCGAUGAGACCCAAGAAGUAAAAGACUUCUGUCAGUAGUGCUGAUCAGUGGCUUUUCUGCCGCAGUUACCCCUGUGGAGGUAAAGAGACACUUUGCAGCCGUGAUUUCUGCAUGCAAAGUUAAAAAGAUGGAAGAAUUACAGACUUCUUCAAGAAAGAAUAAAAUAACAACUAUCAGAGGCAUCAGAUUUCCGAAUAAAAUGCACUGUCUGUAAAUACAACGGCCUUCUUUUGUGAUCCAGUGUAUAACUAGAGAGAGAUCUAAAGGUAUAAAAUGCAGUUAAAAUCGGAGUAGGUGUAAACGGAUCGAUGGGGGUGCCGUGCUUCGUCAGUGUCACCCUGUUGCAUCUUUUGCACAUUGACUCCUGUGCAAAGACUGGUUUUGAAAAGGGGAAGUUAGAAGCAAUAUAUUCCUCAUGACGAGAGUUAGACCAAAUAAAAAUCAUCUCUCAUAGACUCUUUGUACUGUUAUAUCUAACUAGAUAUGAACAUCUGUUUGUAUUACAGAAUUUGUGCACUCUAACCGUUCCUGCUGAACCUUAAACAUUUCUUGAUGCCUUUUGUGUAGAAAUGUUUGUAUAUUCUAACACAAGCUGGCAGCCGCUGCAACAGCAGCGAUGGCCGGCGGCUGCACCAUCCGCAUGGUGUGGGGAAGGAACCAUGGCACCAGAGCAGGUGACUUCAUAGUUCUCUACAGAAACUCUCUACUCUAGAAAGUAUCAGUAAAAAUACUGAGUUGGGUUUCCUUGCAGAGCUCAAUAUCUGAUCAUGUUCCUCUGCAAAGCCCGCUCAUCCUGUAAUAUCAAUUCUAAUUAAAAUGAAAAUAGAGAUUGACCCUUUUUCCCCUCCUUUUCACUUGUUUUCUUGUUCUUCUCACUCACUGAAUGCAAUAGCUUAUUCAGGAAUGUUCUCUUACUGUCGGUUUGCAUUUUUCCAACUGUUUCUGAUGUUUUAUGUAAACGUGGCUUUGUAGACUCUUCUGUACAUAUGUUAGCAUUUAAAACCCUUUGU